UGCGGGCGCCGGGCGGCGGGCCGGACGCCGUCCGGCUUCCGGCCGGGCAUCGGCUUGGGACGCAACGCGGUCUGUUCCAUGGAUCGCCUCCGGC
RNAcentral lists this transfer RNA (94 nucleotides) under Streptomyces fumigatiscleroticus. RNAcentral's name for it is "tRNA-Gly". Lineage: Bacteria; Bacillati; Actinomycetota; Actinomycetes; Kitasatosporales; Streptomycetaceae. The record is from RNAcentral.